GGGCAGGUGAUCCGAUUGGUAAUGGUGGUUCUCUGUAAAAGAAUUGGUUAAAUGUCCGUAAAAGGUUCGAUUCCUUUACUGCUCA
Molecule: transfer RNA, 85 nt
Filed under: Pleurotus cornucopiae (cornucopia mushroom)
Lineage: Eukaryota; Fungi; Basidiomycota; Agaricomycetes; Agaricales; Pleurotaceae
Also listed under: 6 other names
Description: tRNA-Tyr
Rfam family: tRNA
About the family: Transfer RNA (tRNA) molecules are approximately 80 nucleotides in length. Their secondary structure includes four short double-helical elements and three loops (D, anti-codon, and T loops).
Source: RNAcentral